GACGAACGCUGGCGGCGUGCUUAACACAUGCAAGUCGAACGGAAAGGCCCUGCUUUUGUGGGGUGCUCGAGUGGCGAACGGGUGAGUAACACGUGUGUAACCUGCCCUUGACUUUGGGAUAACUUCAGGAAACUGGGGCUAAUACCGGAUAGGAGCUCCUGCUGCAUGGUGGGGGUUGGAAAGUGUCGGCGGUUGGGGAUGGACUCGCGGCUUAUCAGCUUGUUGGGGGGGUAGUGGCUUACCAAGGCUUUGAGGGGUAGCCGGCCUGAGAGGGUGACCGGCCACAUGGGGACUGAGAUACGGCCCAGACUCCAACGGGAGGCAGCAGUGGGGAAUAUUGCACAAUGGGCGGAAGCCUGAUGCAGCAACGCCGCGUGCGGGAUGACGGCCUUCGGGUUGUAAACCGCUUUCGCCUGUGACGAAGCGUGAGUGACGGUAAUGAGCAAAGAAGCACCGGCUAACUACGUG
Molecule: ribosomal RNA, 468 nt
Filed under: uncultured bacterium
Lineage: Bacteria
Description: partial 16S ribosomal RNA
Rfam family: Bacterial small subunit ribosomal RNA
Source: RNAcentral